This 1151-nucleotide ribosomal RNA is filed under the name Escherichia coli. RNAcentral describes it as "partial 23S ribosomal RNA". It matches the Rfam family "Bacterial large subunit ribosomal RNA", at positions 371 to 1529 of the family's 2925-position model. Lineage: Bacteria; Pseudomonadati; Pseudomonadota; Gammaproteobacteria; Enterobacterales; Enterobacteriaceae. The record is from RNAcentral.
CCCCGUACACAAAAAUGCACAUAUUGUGAGCUCGAUGAGUAGGGCGGGACACGUGGUAUCCUGUCUGAAUAUGGGGGGACCAUCCUCCAAGGCUAAAUACUCCUGACUGACCGAUAGUGAACCAGUACCGUGAGGGAAAGGCGAAAAGAACCCCGGCGAGGGGAGUGAAAAAGAACCUGAAACCGUGUACGUACAAGCAGUGGGAGCACGCUUAGGCGUGUGACUGCGUACCUUUUGUAUAAUGGGUCAGCGACUUAUAUUCUGUAGCAAGGUUAACCGAAUAGGGGAGCCGAAGGGAAACCGAGUCUUAACUGGGCGUUAAGUUGCAGGGUAUAGACCCGAAACCCGGUGAUCUAGCCAUGGGCAGGUUGAAGGUUGGGUAACACUAACUGGAGGACCGAACCGACUAAUGUUGAAAAAUUAGCGGAUGACUUGUGGCUGGGGGUGAAAGGCCAAUCAAACCGGGAGAUAGCUGGUUCUCCCCGAAAGCUAUUUAGGUAGCGCCUCGUGAAUUCAUCUCCGGGGGUAGAGCACUGUUUCGGCAAGGGGGUCAUCCCGACUUACCAACCCGAUGCAAACUGCGAAUACCGGAGAAUGUUAUCACGGGAGACACACGGCGGGUGCUAACGUCCGUCGUGAAGAGGGAAACAACCCAGACCGCCAGCUAAGGUCCCAAAGUCAUGGUUAAGUGGGAAACGAUGUGGGAAGGCCCAGACAGCCAGGAUGUUGGCUUAGAAGCAGCCAUCAUUUAAAGAAAGCGUAAUAGCUCACUGGUCGAGUCGGCCUGCGCGGAAGAUGUAACGGGGCUAAACCAUGCACCGAAGCUGCGGCAGCGACGCUGAUGCGUUGUUGGGUAGGGGAGCGUUCUGUAAGCCUGCGAAGGUGUGCUGUGAGGCAUGCUGGAGGUAUCAGAAGUGCGAAUGCUGACAUAAGUAACGAUAAAGCGGGUGAAAAGCCCGCUCGCCGGAAGACCAAGGGUUCCUGUCCAACGUUAAUCGGGGCAGGGUGAGUCGACCCCUAAGGCGAGGCCGAAAGGCGUAGUCGAUGGGAAACAGGUUAAUAUUCCUGUACUUGGUGUUACUGCGAAGGGGGGACGGAGAAGGCUAUGUUGGCCGGGCGACGGUUGUCCCGGUUUAAGCGUGUAGGCUGGU